CAUAACCCCAUACGUGACCCCAUAACCCCAUACAUGACCCCAUACCCCACCCCAUAACCGACUCCAUAACCCCAUACGUGACCCCAUAACCCCAUACAUGACCCCCCAAUGGCAUGGGAGGAUUUGGGAGUGGGCGGGGCUUAUGGGAGUGGGGCAGUGGGGGCAACAUAUGGGAGUCGAUCUAUGGGGCAGAGGUGCAUUCUAUAGGGCAGCGGGGCCAAUCUAUGGGGCAGAGGUGCAUUCUAUGGGGCAGCGGGGCCAAUCUAUGGGGUGCAGUUUCAAUCUAUGGGGCGGAGCUGCAUUCUAUGGGGCAGUGGGGCCAAUCUAUGGGGCAUAGGCGCAUUCUAUGGGGCAGAGUUCCAUUCUAUGGGGCAGUGAAGCCAAUCUAUGGGGUGGAGCUUCAAUCUGUGGGGCAGAAGUGCAAUCUAUGGGUCAGUGGUUCCCUUCUAUGGGGCAGUGGGGCACUCUAUUGGGCAGCAGGUUGAAUCUAUGGGGCAGAGCUCCAUUCUAUGGGGCAGAGGGGCAGAUCGAUGGGGCAGAGCUCCAUUCUAUGGGGCAGAGGGGCCAAUCUAUGGCGCACAGCUCCGUUCUAUGGGGAAACGGGGCCAAUCUAUGGGGCAGAACUCCGUUCUAUGGGGCAGAAAGGCCAAUCUAUGGGGCAGAGCUCUGUUCUAUGGGGCAGCGGAGCCGAUCUAUGGGGCAGAGUUGUGUUCUAUGGGGCAGAGGGGCUGAUCUAUGGGGCAGAACUCUGAUCUAUGGGACAGAACUCCAUUCUGUGGGGCAGAAAGGCCAAUCUGUGGGGCAGAGCUCCAUUACAUGGGGCAGCAGGGUUGAUCUAUGAGGCAGAGCUGUGUUCUAUGGGGCAGAGGAGUCGAUCUAUGGGCCAGAAUUCUGAUCUAUGGGGCAGAACUCCAUUCUAUGGGGCAGCGGGGCCGAUCUAUGGGGCAGAACUCCAUUCUAUGGGGCAGCGGGGCCGAUCUAUGGGGCAGAACUCCAUUCUAUGGGGCAGCGGGGCCGAUCUAUGGGGCGGGGCUCCGUUCCGUGUGGCAGCGUUGCGGACGGAGGCCGUCCCACAGGCGACAUGGCCGCCCUGCUGCGGUCGGGGCUGAGCGCGGGGCGGGCCGUGCUGCUGAACGCCGUGGCGGCGCUGCCCGCUUUGAUCGGCGUGGGAGCCGGGCUGGCCAUCGGAACCGACGCGGAAGCGCUGAGAUGGGUGUGCGGGGCGGCGGCGGGGAUCUUCCUCUAUGUGGCGCUGUGCGAUAUGAUGCCCGCCCUGCUGCAGGAGCGCAGCGCCCGGCCGUGGCUGCUGCUGGGCCUGCACUGCCUUGGGCUGAUCAGCGGCUGGGCGGCGCUGGCUGGGCUGGCGCUGCUGGAGGACAGCGGGGCUCUGUGACACAACUGGGACCAACUGGGACAAACUGGGACCAAUUGGGACCAACUGGACACAACUGGGACCUACUGGGACACAACUGGGACCAACUGGGACCUACUGGGACAAACUGGGCACUACUGGGUAUAAUUGGACACUGCUGGAGGACAGCGGGGCUCUGUGACACAACUGGGACCUACUGGGACAAACUGGGACCUACUGGGACCAACUGGGCACUACUGGGUAUAAUUGGACACUGCUGGAGGACAGCGGGGCUCUGUGACACAACUGGGACCUACUGGGACCAAUUGGGACCAACUGGACACAACUGGGACCUACUGGGACCAACUGGGACCAAUUGGGACCAACUGGACACAACUGGGACACAACUGGGACCUACUGGGACCAAUUAGGACCUACUGGGACCAACUGGGCACAACUGGGUAUAAACGGACACUGCUGGAGGACAGCAGGGCUCUGUGACACAACUGGGACCAACUUGGACCUACUGGGAUCUACUGGGACCUACUGGGACCAACUGGGGCUUACUGGGACCAACUGGAACCUACUGGACUUCACUGGGUACUACUGGACACUACUGGGCACUGCUGGGCACUACUGGAAGGACAGGGGGGCUCUGUGACACAAGUGGGACCUACUGGGCACUACUGGGACCUACUGGGCACUACUGGGACCAACUGGGCACUACUGGCAAAACUGGCACUACUGGGAGCAACUGGGGACAACUGGCACUACUGGGCACUACUGGGAGGACAGUGGGGCUCUGUGACACAACUGGGACCUACUGGGCACUACUGGGAGGACAGUGGGGCUCUGUGACACAACUGGGACCUACUGGGCACUACUGGGAGGACAGUGGGGCUCUGUGACACAACUGGGACCUACUGGGCACUACUGGGAGGACAGUGGGGCUCUGUGACACAACUGGGACCUACUGGGCACUACUGGGAGGACAGUGGGGCUCUGUGACACAACUGGGACCUACUGGGCACUACUGGGAGGACAGUGGGGCUCUGUGACACAACUGGGACCUACUGGGCACUACUGGGACCAACUGGGCACAACUGGGUAUAAACGGACACUGCUGGAGGACAGCAGGGCUCUGUGACACAACUGGGACCAACUUGGACCUACUGGGAUCUACUGGGACCUACUGGGACCAACUGGGGCUUACUGGGAC
RNAcentral lists this long non-coding RNA (2570 nucleotides) under Chrysolophus pictus (golden pheasant). Its description in RNAcentral is "lncRNA (ENSCPIG00010014307.1)". The record is from RNAcentral. Lineage: Eukaryota; Metazoa; Chordata; Aves; Galliformes; Phasianidae.